This 81-nucleotide transfer RNA is filed under the name Pneumocystis canis. RNAcentral's name for it is "tRNA-Ser". It matches the Rfam family "tRNA". From Rfam's summary of the family: Transfer RNA (tRNA) molecules are approximately 80 nucleotides in length. Their secondary structure includes four short double-helical elements and three loops (D, anti-codon, and T loops). Further hydrogen bonds mediate the characteristic L-shaped molecular structure. tRNAs have two regions of fundamental functional importance: the anti-codon, which is responsible for specific mRNA codon recognition, and the 3' end, to which the tRNAs corresponding amino acid is attached (by aminoacyl-tRNA synthetases). tRNAs cope with the degeneracy of the genetic code in two manners: having more than one tRNA (with a specific anti-codon) for a particular amino acid; and 'wobble' base-pairing, i.e. permitting non-standard base-pairing at the 3rd anti-codon position. Lineage: Eukaryota; Fungi; Ascomycota; Pneumocystomycetes; Pneumocystales; Pneumocystaceae. The record is from RNAcentral.
GGAAAAAUCGUCAAAGGUAAGACAUAAUACAUGCUAGGUAUUUCCUUUCAAGGAUGAAGGGUUCGAAUCCCUUUUUUUCCG